This 378-nucleotide unclassified non-coding RNA is filed under the name plant metagenome. RNAcentral describes it as "partial contains 5.8S ribosomal RNA, internal transcribed spacer 2, and large subunit ribosomal RNA". The stretch from base 1 to 105 matches the Rfam family "5.8S ribosomal RNA", at positions 50 to 154 of the family's 154-position model. The record is from RNAcentral.
GAAAUGCGAUAAGUAAUGUGAAUUGCAGAAUUCAGUGAAUCAUCGAAUCUUUGAACGCACCUUGCGCUCCUUGGUAUUCCUUGGAGCAUGUCUGUUUGAGUAUCAUGAAAUCUUCAAGGUAAAUCUUUUGUUAACUCAAUUGGUUUCUACUUUGGUAUUGGAGGUCUUUGCAGCUUCACACCUGCUCCUCUUUGUUCAUUAGCUGGAUCUCAGUGUUAUGCUUGGUUCCACUCGGCGUGAUAAGUUAUCUAUCGCUGAGGACACUGUAAAAGGUGGCCAAGGUAAAUGCAGAUGAACCGCUUCUAAUAGUCCAUUGACUUGGACAAUACUUUUAUGAUCUGAUCUCAAAUCAGGUAGGACUACCCGCUGAACUUAAGC